GUUUGUGAAUUUGAGAGAAAAAAAAUCAAGGCCUUGAACGUUUUUGAAAAUAGACAUAAAUAGACAUUGGUCAUUGAAAGUGCUUGAAUUUAUAUAUUUUGUGCAAGAAUAUACAUUUAAGUUCUUUAGAUUUCUAUUUAUUUACUUAACGUCAGUAAUGGGCUAAGUUCCGUUGUCUGCACGUGUCUCCCGCCGUCUGUGCGUCCUUGUUUCACGCGCCACCUACCUCGAGAAAGUGCGACGGUUACGUGCAUGCAUGAGGGAAUGAAGUCGAAUGAUGCAGGUUAAAUAGCUGCAAGCAAACGACAAAUCUAACGUAAAGCGGACCUUCAGCUAUGCCUGGAAAAUGUAAAUUCCAGGACUCGUGGCUCACCAAAGACAUUUACAAAGACUGGCUUGUUAAAGAUCCGCAAGGCAUCUAGAUGGCCCGAUGCAGAGCCUGCAACAAAUCAAUAAAAGUUCACGCCAUGGGAAGCACCUGUGAAGAGCCAUGCUGCUUGAGCAUCACACAGGACGGCACUCCGCAAGUUAUAAGCAGCUCCUCAAGACAGUCCGUCAAAACUCGUCAUAAGAGGACACAUUGCGGGCUGAGACAUUGUGGUGUCUGAAUAUGAUGGAGUCUCACUACUCUUUCCACUGUAGUGAACCCACGUGUGGGUGCCAUGGUUUAUUAUCUGUCACCUGUAACAUGAAAUUAUUUUUAGGAACAUGUUAUGUAUGUUUUCAUAUUCUCUCUCUGUGACACACGUUCACACACAGGCUAGAAACAGAAAUAAGUGUUUGAUUUCAAUCUUUUUUAUUCUUAGGUGUGCUGUUCUCAGCGACUUCCCAGACAGUGCAAUAGCCAAGACCUUCGCAUGCGGGGCAGCAAAGUCCAGCUGUGUGUGCACACAUGGCUUGGCUUCUCAUUUCAAGUAA
This 918-nucleotide long non-coding RNA is filed under the name Salmo trutta (river trout). RNAcentral's name for it is "lncRNA (ENSSTUG00000045674.1)". The record is from RNAcentral. Lineage: Eukaryota; Metazoa; Chordata; Actinopteri; Salmoniformes; Salmonidae.